ACAAAACCUGCACUAUUUUGGGACGAGCCAUGUCGAAGAAUUUCAUUUUGUUCUUCCAACCUCUUCACCAUGUCUUGAAGUUUCCGAACUUCUUGUUCGGCUGAACUUGAAGUUUUUAAAUCCAUGGGCGGAACCUCAAACAUAUUUUCCAUACUGAUCGUUCUGCUCACUUCAUAUUCAUUUUGGCAAAAUACAGAGUGGUGGUAAAGGUGUACAUUAAGGAGCUUAAUAUGUCAUGGGAGACUGCGUGGGAUUCAAGAACUUAGUAAAAUGGGAUAUUGUGGAAUAUUUUAGGCCGGCAGGAAUUCAACGUAUAUACUCAACCUAGAAAUAAGCGAUCCGGAUUGUGAUUUUUGAGAUUAAGAUAUUUCAGAGUUUAGACCAUCGAUAUUGCUUAUUACGAGUUACGAACAUGUUACGAAGUGAUGAACUUUUUAAAGUCAUGUGUACAACAUUAUACUGUUAUCGUUUUAGCAAAUUUACAAAUGAAAAAAUGGCUAAUCAUAAUAUGGAUGGCGAUUUAUAAACAAUUAACUUAGGAAUAUUUGUAAAAGACACUACUUCAAUUUCAAGUUCAAUUCUUAUCUGAAUGUCUAGAUUAGGUUGUAGAAAUCAAGACAAAAUUGCGAAUAACCGCUGACAAA
Xenia sp. Carnegie-2017 is the source of this 644-nucleotide long non-coding RNA. RefSeq lists it as uncharacterized. The transcript is spliced from 2 exons. The record is from RefSeq and is a predicted model, not a curated record. Lineage: Eukaryota; Metazoa; Cnidaria; Anthozoa; Malacalcyonacea; Xeniidae.